GGACCUGGUGGCCAUUGCGAGGGCCCUACACCCGAUCCCUUCCCGAACUCGGCCGUGAAAUCCCUCAGCGCCUAUGAUACUGCACCUCAAGGUGCGGAAAAGUCGGUCGCCGCCAGGUCC
RNAcentral lists this ribosomal RNA (120 nucleotides) under Gluconobacter oxydans. The record is from RNAcentral. Lineage: Bacteria; Pseudomonadati; Pseudomonadota; Alphaproteobacteria; Acetobacterales; Acetobacteraceae.